GCUCAUAGGUGACAAUGACUUGCCUUAUCUCAGAUGAGAAUUUGGACUUUGGACUUUGGACUUUUGAGUUAAUAUUGGAGUGAGUUAAGACUUUAAGGGACUAUUGGUUGUCCAUACUAACUGCUCCCUUUUUCUUCACACCAACCCUGUCAUGUAAAUCAACCCUGAAAAAUUAAUCUGAUCACCACUUCACCGAAUAUAUUAUGAUUAUAAAUGAAUUCCAG
RNAcentral lists this long non-coding RNA (224 nucleotides) under Homo sapiens (human). RNAcentral's name for it is "HSALNT0138861". Lineage: Eukaryota; Metazoa; Chordata; Mammalia; Primates; Hominidae. The record is from RNAcentral.